GCGUUUGCCGCUUAGCACCCUUGCCUCCCUGUGGCAGCCUCCUCUUGAGCCCUUGGGACUUUUCACAAACUCUGUCCCUCUCUUCUUUGGGGAUCGAGGUCAGGAAGGUGGAGGCUGUGGAUUUUUCUUUUUUUUUUUUUUUUGAGACAGAGUCUCGCUUUGUCGCCCAGGCUGGAGUGCAGUGGCGGGAUCUUGGCUCACUGCAAGCUCUGCCUCUGGGGUUCGCACCAUUCUGUUGCCUCAGCCUCCUGAGUAGCUGGGACUACAGGCGCCCGCCACCACGCCUGGCUAAUUUUUUGUAUUUUUAGUAGAGACGGGGUUUCACCCUGUUAGCCAGGAUGGUCUCGACCUCCUGACCUUGUGAUCCACCUGCCUCAGCCUCCCAAAGUGCUGGGAUUACAGGUGUGAGCCACCGUGCCUGGCCAAGGCUGUGGAUUUUAGGGAGAGCAACCACAGGCAUUGGGCAGAAGUGGCCAACAGGGCCCAGCCCCAGUCUUGGGUCUCUUGACAGCCAUGUGCCUGGCCCCAGCAGGGGAUCACCACAGCCUUUAAACCGAGCGUUAUUCUUGUUGGCAGCGCCUUACAUCCUUCUGGAGGAGCCUGCUCUUGAAUCAAUAAGCCCCGAUAUGCCUCACCAUCUCUUGCCACUCAGCCUAUGUGCCGCCCGGCUUCAAAACCAGGCUGCUGGGGACGCUGCACAGCAGUGCUUCCUGGCUGGCCUCUGACCGCAGCCUGCUGUGCCCUCCGCCGGCCCUGCCAUUUACAGGGGGCUCUCACACCCAUUCCAUCUGAACUCCCCUGGGCUUCCGUCUUCUGGUCUGUGGAAUGGGACUGGGUAAUAAUCAGCUGGUAUUUAUUAAGAGCCUGCUUUGCUCCUGCCCAGUGCACACAUCGUCUGGGGUCUGGUCACAGUGCAGGUCUGGGUGGAUGGGCCUGGGACGAGGUCCAGUUCUGCAUUUCCAACAAGCUCCCAGAUGAAGCCUGCGCCGGAGCAGGGUUCUCAGCCUCGCCCAUCACACUCACCCACUUCCGCCCAGCAGCAGCAGGUGUGUUGUCCGACAUCCUUCCUCUGGAGGGCCUGCGCUCCUCCGCUAAACCCAGUUCCGGUGCUGUGGGGAGCUCAGAGGCCGGGGAGGAGAGGGAGCUCGGGGUGCAGCCCCACGGUUCGUAUCCCCAUCCCCCCACCAACACCCAGUGCGGUGGGCAGCCCCGCAGGUGAUCUGACGCACCAGCAGGUGCUGCCCCCUGUGCCCCCUCUGGUGGGGUGUGAGCACCACCGGAACAGGGGACUGCUGUGCCUGGGUUGCUGCCUGGCACCCAGCGGUCGCUCAGGACCCCGAGGAGGGCAGGGUGGGCCCAGGAGCUGGACGCAGCAGGUCGGGGUCCCUGGGUGGGCAAAGUGGGCGCUGGUGCUGCUUGAGGGGAGUGGCUCCUGCCCAGCAUGGCAGUUCUGGCUUCAGGGGUGUGGCAGUGUCCCCUCCCUUCUCUUUAGCUAUACAUGGGUUUGGGGAUUGAGGAAGGGCCACCCACAAGCUGGCCCCGAGUACAGGGACUGUAGGGUGCGGCCCUCGGGAAGCCCCUCGCAGUGCCAGCCACAAACCAGGAGAACGGGUUCGUCUGCCUGGCUGGAGGCCCUGGGAGCCGCACUCCACCCGUCUGUGGCAGACCCAGGACCUGGAGGUACCUGCAGAGUGUGAGCUGGGGAGGGUGGGCAGCGGGCGGCACUGGGCCCAGGGAGGGGAAGUGAGCCCUGGGUGGGCACAGUCAGGCAGAGGCCCCAGAGCCAAGAUGGGGAGGGCGGGGCCCGGCAGCCAGAGGCAGGAAGUGCUGGUGGAUGAAGGCCUCCUGGAGCCUCCGUGGGAAACAGUGCCUGGGCCAGGGUUUAGCAGGUGAGGUUAGGACAGGGGUGCAGAGUGCAGAGGGUUGGUGUGGGCAUGGGCUGGCCUGGGAAGUGAUGUUGGGUGAUUUUGGGGCUCGGGCAGGUGGUCCGGGGCUCUGCCUGUGUCCCUGUGUUGGCCGGGGACCAGCAGGAAUGAAUUCCUGGCAGAACUGUGGGUCUGACAGCAGAGCCAGCCUGGGGGGGCCCUGGGGCUCUGGGGCUCUGGGCUGCUCUUAGGACCUUGAGGGAGCUAGGACAGGAAAGAGAAAUGGGGAGGGGUCUGUGGAGAGAGGGGCAUGGGCCUGUGGCAGAGUUGAGAAACUGAUGGCCAGAGAGGCCAUGCCUGGUCCAAGGCAGGCACAAGGUGAAUCCCAGGUCAGUUUGCCCAUACCUGUGUCCCAGUCUCUACCUGUCGCUGGGAUUGGGGAGGGGUGCUGGGCACCAUGACCUCGCUGAUAGGAAAUGAGGGGUCCUGGUGUGCAGCUGUCAUCUGGGGUGAACCGGCUGAUAACUAGGGGCUGGAAACCAAGGGUCCCCCAAAAAGGAGAUCUGGGAGGACUUCCUGGAGGAAGAGACUUUGCACUGGUAAGAGUGAGGGAGGGCUCUGUCCAUGUGAGAGGCAUGGCCUUUUCUGACAAGUGGAGGCUGGGAUUGUUGGGUUGGGGGGCACUAAGGGUGGGCCCUGCCCAGCUUCCCAGCCUCCUCUGUGAGGCCGGAGGGAGGGGGCCUGGUGAGUCUGGAAUCACACAGGGUGGGGUUCCCAGGAGAGUGAGCCCAGGACCUGUGGGUACUAGGCAAGGCCGGAGAGGACCCACGAGGGAGGCCCAAGCUGGAAUGGCGUCCACUCUGGAUGUGGGCAUCUGGAUGGGCUGUGGAGAGUCCGGCCCUGUCCUGCGAGCACUGCAUAGCCUGGGCUGUGCUGAGUGUGGCCAGCCGGUGAGGGGCUGUGUGCUGGCUGGAGGGCACCUGGGAGCCACCUCCUGAGGCACUGCCACGCCACCUUCCCCACACAGCCUCCCCUAAGGCAGAGUCAGGGCUGGGAGCCAGGCAGCCCUGGGAGGAGGGGACGGGCAGGGGCUACAGCCUCUGCGCUGAGGUGUGACCUUGAGCAGCUCCUGGUCUUCCCUGGCCUCAGCUUCCUCACCUGUCAAGUGGGGGAAUAGAGGCCCCUGCCUCCCGGGUUAUGAGAGGACUCAGGAUGGCACAUGUGUGGGGUGCCCUCCGGGGCCUGCCUCGGACCCCCAGCUCAGGGCUUUGCAGGCAUUUAGACUCUGGUGAGAAGAGGCUGAGCCCAGGGCAUCCCUGUGUCCUGCCCCCAAACGCGAACACGCAGGCACUCAGGAACCUGCAGGAGCUGUGGAGUCAGCGCAGUGAAGACGUGUGACCGGUGCGAGGCAGACACCCAUCACGGCAGGUGCCCCCGAGAAUUCCGGGCAGAGCCCACGUUGCUCUGUCUUCAGCCCCAUAGCUAGUUGGUUUCUGAAUUUUGUUUUUUGGAAACUGCACUGAACUGAUUCACACCGAUGAGCAGCUGCCGACAGUGACAGCGUCCAGCAUUCCUCUGGGCGCCUUCAGUUAGACCGAGAGAGACAGGAGUGGGGGUGUUUUAGUUAUCAAAGCUGGCUCCCGGGUCUGGAUGCCAGGGUCAGGCAUGGGGGCUCCUGCAGCGAGCUCUGGGGGUCUCAGUGGAGGGGGCAGGGCUCUGGUCGUUCUGCUCCACCACGUGCUAGAAGGAGGGGCCCCGGGGCCAUGGCUGGCAUUGGGCCCCACCCACUGCCUCCCUCGGACGGCUGAAUGGUGUGGGUCAUCCACUCCUGUUCUCCUCUGACCCGCCUCCUUCAGGAGUUCUGAACCUGGCAUUUGAUGCCCGAUGGACAAUAAGGGCUCCCCACGAGGCUGCUCCUCAGGGCUCAGGAUCUUCAGUCAGGCAAAGGCUCCCCAAGUUCCAGGGGUGCCGUCCUGGACUCCUGAGCCUGCCCGCCUGCCUCCGCAGGUCCUGUCUGUGCGAGUGGGAGUGAGCCGUGUGCUCCGCAGACACCUGACCUGUGCGCUUAUGACGGCCUCUCCUUUGCACAUGGCCUCGACUUGGCUGUCCCCCUCUCCCUGGCUGCUGAUCUCCCAGUGCCCAGUUAUGCCCAGGUCUCUGCCCACCUCAGCCCACACUGGGUGGGGAAAUGCUGGCGCAAAACCUGGCUUAUUGGGGUUGCAGCCAAGUAGCCCUUGAUUCUUCCUACCACUCCCCUACCCGAGAGAGGACCUGCUCACCUCCCCAUCCUCGGGGUCUGUGCCCGACGCCUCUCUCUGCGGUUGGCACGGCUCAUCCUCUGGCUGGGGCAUGUGACACCUGGCCAAGGAUGUGGCGUCUGAGGCUCCCCCAUCUGUCUGCCCAGCUCCUUGCCCUUCCCUGCGUGGGGCCCGUCCCAGGAGAGCCUGCCCUGACCCUUCCCACCUGCGGUCAUCUGUCCCCUCCCAGGCUGCCGGCCUGGUCUGCACGGUCGAGCUUCAAUCCACAGUGGAGGCCUUGGGCUGUGCUGCUGUCUGUCUAUCCAUCCGUAAAUCCAUCUAUCCCCUGCCAGCCCCUUCCCUCAGCACCCCUGGCUCAGCCGUGCCAUUCCUGGUUGGCCCUGGAGGUCCUAUUUGCUGGUCCUUGAGUUUCCCACUGAUUGUGAAGAGACAAUAAUUGUCCAGAGGGGAUCGAAGGGGCGCCUGUGCGGAGCUGGUCCACACUCUGAGGCCCGGGCCUCGGCCGUUGGUCGGGGGGGUUUUCCACUUGUUGUUGACAGAGGCGCCUCCCAUGGCAGUGGGGUGCAGGGUCUCCCCUGGGGAUGUGAGGCCGGUGAGGGCGGAAGGGGAGCAGGCAGGGGCCCGGGGCUCUCCAGAUCUACCACCCCACCACCUCACUGGCUCUUCUUGCCCGGAGCUCAAUGCAGGGAUCCCCGUGCCUGACCCUGGCAUCCACAGACCCGGGGGCCAGCUUUGAGGAGGCGCUGCUGGCUCUGGUGGAGGUGGUGACAUGGGGCUCUGGAGACUUGGGGGCCGCUCAUCCUUCUUCCUGUGGGCUCCACCAUAUUCAUCCUUGGGGGAUUAAUCUGAAGCUGUCCGUAGAAGCUGGACUGGGACCCUCAAGCCAGCCCUGGGCUGGGGCCAGCCAGGCCCUUUCUGCCUCGGAACUGCUGCACCUGCUGCCCGUAGUCGGCUCUUGCCAACUCAAAGUUCAAGCAUAGCAGGCCAAGUCCCCCCCCCACCCCCAGGCAACCCCUUUGUGCGCUCCCCCCACUACCCCCUCCUGUGCUGCCUCCCCAGUAGCCUGGGUACAGCUAUGGGGGUGGGGGCAGGCACAGCAACAGUAACCUGCCUCCCCACUCCCCGCCAUCUCUGGUCAUUGGUCAGGAGCUCAUCAGUGCUGAGUUAAGGACUCAGACAGGCCCCCCGCCCCAGCCCCUACCUCACAUCCCUCUCAGCUGACCCCAACUCCUCCCCAAGACUUGGAUCCCAAAGGAGCCAGUGUCUGGGGGGCAUCCAGGCAGCACCUACCUCUUGUCCUUCCUCCCGCUGCUCGAUUCCACUUUCAGCCCCCUGCCCUGUGAUUUCAGGACAAAGCUUCCCAGGUGCAGGUCUGAAAGCUUCCACCUCCUUCGAGAGGUGGGUGUGGGGGCCUGUGGGGCCCAGUGAUGCUGGCAAGGGGAGAAGGUCCAGGCAGGGGCGGGGUUGCGGAUCCACAGUGGGAUGCGGGGCUGAACGGUUAUGUCCCGGUAGGUAGGGGCUGCAGAAAGAGCCCCGAGGGCUGGGGAGUCCCGGAGCUGGACCACAGGAAGGGCCUCAAGUCCGCCUGCCAGGUCCAGCUUCUCAGGACCCCAGGGCUGGGGCACACUCUUUGCACCCCGCUUUACAGAUGAGGAAACUGAGUCAGAGAGGGAGAGUUUAAGGGCAGGCUUCAAGCUGACCUCUGACCCAGAGACCCCCAUUUUGAAAAAUCUCCUCUUCAGGCCUCAGGCCUGGAGGGCUGUGGGAGUCGCUCCUCUCUCGAUUGGAGGGUGGAGUGAGUGAUCGAUCGAUUCAUUGCCUUUACCCACAUCAGUAUCUCUUCCCCCUUGGGACUCCUUCUGAGGAGCGUUGAGUGUGUAUCUCGUUUUUUGUAUUUUCCAGAAUGCUGUGUUGUUCUGGUGCGAGUAUUUUAAUCACUAUUAGUGGGGUGCAAAUGUUUUGGCCUUAGUAUCCCUUCACACUUUUUUUUUUUUUUUUGAGACAGAGUCUCACCCAGGCUGGAGUGCAGUGGUGCGAUCUCGGCUCACUGCAACCUCUGCUUCCCGGGUUCAAUCGAUUUUCCUGCCUCAGCCUCCUGAGUAGCUGAGAUUACAGGCAUGCGCCACCACGCCUGGCUAAUUUUUGUAUUUUUAGUAGAGACGGAAUUUCACCACGUUGGCCAGGCUGGUCUCGAACUCCUGACAUCAGAUGAUCCACCCUCCUUGGCCUCCCAAAGUGCUGGGGUUACAGACGUGAGCCACUGCAUCUGGCCCCAACACUCUUAGCAGCUGUUGAGAAGCCCAAGGAGCUUUGGUUUUGGGGUGCUGUCUGUAGUGUGUGCUGGAGCAGGCUUGCACGUGCUCACCAGAACCUACGGUAGCAUCUCCAGUAAUCUCAUCAGCUGGUUGUUGGACACAACCAUUAUUCAAAUCAAAUUAAAGUAAUUAAAUUAUGUAAAACACAGAAAUACUAUAAAAAGCAAAGGAAAUAAAUACUCAAAAUGUAUUGCUUCCUAAUUAUUUCUAGCUUACUGUGAUCCACGCUGUUAUCUGGGUGCAGUCUGUGUGUGUCUGUCUAGUGGAAAUGCCGUAUGAUACUGUCCAUCUCUUCCCCACUCUGUGCUCUGUGGGCUCAAGUGGGAAUAUUUACACCACAUGUUUACACCACCUUCAUAAAAAAAUAUGAAAAUAUUCAUGAAGUCUUAUUGAAAAUAACAACGGGCCAGGCACAGUGGUUCACACCUGUAAUCCCAGCACAUUGGGAGGUCAAGGCAGGAGGAUCACCUGAGGCCAGGAGUUUGAGACCAGCCUGGCCAACAUGGUGAA
Molecule: long non-coding RNA, 6948 nt
Filed under: Homo sapiens (human)
Lineage: Eukaryota; Metazoa; Chordata; Mammalia; Primates; Hominidae
Description: long non-coding RNA NONHSAT148238.1
Source: RNAcentral